GUGAAUCAUCAAAUUUUUGAACGCACAUUGCGCCUUUUUCGGAAGCCAUGUCUGUUUGAGGGUCAUUUGAAAUAAUAUAAAUUCCAAGAUUUCUCGGAAUUUAAAAUGGGUUGUCCAUUUUUUGUGGUCGCCUAAAAUCCAAGACAAGCUCAUUUUCUUGGGUUGCGUGAUACUUUCAGUUACCUCGUGACUUAACCAGGAAUCAUCGGGCGUGUUAUGAAUUUUGCACGGGAUAAGAAAUUCCAUAGAUUUAUCUCAUGCGAAUUAGAAAUCGAAU
This 277-nucleotide unclassified non-coding RNA is filed under the name Archaeospora sp. Its description in RNAcentral is "partial internal transcribed spacer 2". The stretch from base 1 to 65 matches the Rfam family "5.8S ribosomal RNA", at positions 84 to 154 of the family's 154-position model. The record is from RNAcentral. Lineage: Eukaryota; Fungi; Glomeromycota; Glomeromycetes; Archaeosporales; Archaeosporaceae.